RNAcentral lists this unclassified non-coding RNA (314 nucleotides) under Hevea brasiliensis (rubber tree). Lineage: Eukaryota; Viridiplantae; Streptophyta; Magnoliopsida; Malpighiales; Euphorbiaceae. The record is from RNAcentral.
UGUCAAGGAUGCUGCCGGAAAUGAUUUUGAUGGGUGGUGCUGGCCAGGUUCAUCAUCUUACCUGGACAUGUUAAGUCCAGAGAUUAGGUCAUGGUGGGGAGAGAAGUUUUCUUUCGAAAACUAUGUUGGUUCUACUCCUUCCUUAUAUAUAUGGAAUGAUAUGAAUGAGCCUUCUGUUUUCAAUGGUCCAGAGGUUACAAUGCCUCGAAAUGCUCUACAUCAAGGAGGUGUAGAACAUCGGGAAUUACACAAUGUCUAUGGAUACUACUUUCAUAUGGCCACUGCAGAGGGGCUAGUUAAGCGGGGUGAUGGAA